This 304-nucleotide ribosomal RNA is filed under the name Smilium sinense. Its description in RNAcentral is "partial 12S ribosomal RNA". Lineage: Eukaryota; Metazoa; Arthropoda; Thecostraca; Calanticomorpha; Calanticidae. The record is from RNAcentral.
AAUGGAUUUGGCGGCAUAAUAAACCAUUUAGAGGAACCUGCUUAAUAAACGAUAGACCACGAAGGCCUUACUUUUAUUGGUAAUCAGUUUGUAUACCGCUGUUGUAUGCUAGUUUUAUUAGAAAAUUAGCAAUAAUAUUUAAAAUAAUUACUUCAAGUAAAGGUGCAGCUAAUAUAAAAGUUUAAAGUGGGUUACAAUUAUUGAAUUAAACGAAAAAAAUUUUUAAAUGAUUUUAGAAGGUGGAUUUAAUAGUAAUUUUAAAAAUAUCUGAUAACGGCACUAUUAUGUGUACACACCGCCCGUC